RNAcentral lists this ribosomal RNA (433 nucleotides) under uncultured bacterium. Its description in RNAcentral is "partial 16S ribosomal RNA". It matches the Rfam family "Bacterial small subunit ribosomal RNA", at positions 29 to 507 of the family's 1533-position model. The record is from RNAcentral.
AGCGAACGCUGGCGGCAGGCCUAACACAUGCAAGUCGAACGAACUCUUCGGAGUUAGUGGCGGACGGGUGAGUAACACGUGGGAACGUGCCUUUAGGGUCGGAAUAACUCAGGGAAACUUGAGCUAAUACCGGAUGUGCCCUUCGGGGGAAAGAUUUAUCGCCUUUAGAGCGGCCCGCGUCUGAUUAGCUAGUUGGUGAGGUAAAGGCUCACCAAGGCGACGAUCAGUAGCUGGUCUGAGAGGAUGAUCAGCCACAUUGGGACUGAGACACGGCCCAAACUCCUACGGGAGGCAGCAGUGGGGAAUCUUGCGCAAUGGGCGAAAGCCUGACGCAGCCAUGCCGCGUGAAUGAUGAAGGUCUUAGGAUUGUAAAAUUCUUUCACCGGGGACGAUAAUGACGGUACCCGGAGAAGAAGCCCCGGCUAACUUCGUG